Molecule: RNA transcript, 2067 nt
Organism: Magnolia sinica
Lineage: Eukaryota; Viridiplantae; Streptophyta; Magnoliopsida; Magnoliales; Magnoliaceae
Gene name: F-box protein At4g18380-like
Exons: 4
Source: RefSeq, a predicted model, not a curated record
GAGAAAGAGAGAGAGAGAGCGGAAUCCACGUCUCAGGAAAACCGCUCCCAAAUCUGCCGAUUCUUUUACCAGAAACCCUAAUUUUCGAUCGAUUUUCAACCUCUACCGUCAUAAACCUGCCUCAGAACUCAUAGAUUUCCACAUCUCACAGCUGGAAUCUCCUCGAUUGGAUAUUCUCUGUCCGAUUCCUGGCCGAACGGCAUCGAAACCGUCGGGUUUCGUUACAGAUCGCUGUGAUUUGGUGGAAGGCCGCUUUCCGAUGGCGGGGAAUCGUUUUACCUCUGUAAGAUCGGGUUUCCGCGAAGGCAGUUGGCGGAGGAUCGGAGAUCCGGAAGAAAUGUGGUGUCUUUAGAUUAUCAAACUUCGACAGACCUCCGUUGGUCCGGCUUCUCAGCCACUGAAUUUUCUGCAUUGAUUGCGGCGAUUUCCAGGUAAAAUCCAGCAAAGUGCCCCAUCUGUGCAGAUUCUUCUUGUGAAAAGGUGAAGACAAGAUGCAGUCGAAAUCCCGAAUCCAUGACACCUCUUCUUUUGAACUUGAUGAAUUCGACAGAAUCCCUGAUUCCAUAUUACUCAUCAUCCUCAACAAGCUUGCGGACGUCCGGUCCCUCGGCCGUUGUACAGUUGUCUCCAAGCGGUUCAACUCCCUUGUGCCCCUUGUGAAUGAUGUCUUUGUCAAGAUCGACCGUGUUGUAUCCAUUGACGGUGAUGAUGAUGAUGACCUGGACUCCUCUUCCCAGAAGCCCCGGAACCUCUUCUCUCACCUCCUCAAGCUCAUGUUCUUCACCCUCCUCAAACCCUUCCACAAUCUCCACAGAAGCAACAAUGCGAACAAACCCCUUCUCCCCCAACUCUCUCAUCACUCUGCUGAGCAAGUCCUGAAGAACUUCAACCACAUCCACAAUUUCCGAAUCGAGUUACCAGCCGGGGAUGUUGGCACCGAGGAUGGUGUUCUUCUAAAAUGGAAAGCUGAAUUUGGCAGCACCCUCCAGAACUGUGUCAUUUUGGGAGGUACCCAGAUAGACCGGAAGCCGGUUUCUGAUCAAGAGCCACCUGAGGACAAUGGGAGUAUGCCUGAAUCAUUCUACACAAAUGGGGGGUUGAAGUUGCGAGUGGUUUGGACGAUUAGCUCCUUGAUUGCUGCUUCCACGAGGCAUUAUCUGCUGCGGCCGAUAAUCAAAGACCACCCGACUCUGAAAAGCUUAGUCUUGACGGAUGCAGACGGGCAAGGGACUCUGAGUAUGGCAGGUGAGCAGCUGAGAGAGUUCAGGGAGAAACCGCUGGCCGCCUCAGCAUCCUCGAGCAGGACGCAGGUGCCAGCUUCCAACAUGAAACUGAGGUAUGCACCAUACCUGGAGCUUCCAGAAGGGAUGGGGAUGCAGGGGGCAACGCUGGUGGCGAUUAAGCCAUCAGAGUGCAGCGGGGGAAGCAGGAAGGAGGCGGAGGCGUUCAUUUCAGGGGCGUUUGAUGGCCCGUUCAAGGCAGCUGUGAAAGCGCUGGCAAAACGGAGGACUUACCUCUUGGAGAUGAAUGGGUUUUAAGGCCAGAGGUUGCUUUGGUUGGCCUUUCGGUUCUCUCUUUCUUCACACUCCUCGAUUCGCAGUUUUUCAGCUGAAAUUGAGUGAGAAAUGGUCCAAGAAUUUGCUGGCCCAGCCCAGUUCCCGAUCAGAUAGAAUGUGAAGAAUCCCGAAACUGUUUGUUUUCAUGGAAAACAAAAACCCUGUUUCGACGAAGAAGAGAUGCCGCUCUGUGCUUGGAUGAGAUGCAGUGCCAAUUGAGACAUGUUACAACCCAUCUGUCGGGCACGUAGCAUGUGUGUGAUUUUCCAAAUCAUGGGGACCCGAUUGUGGAUCAAGCAUGCUUUGACCCAUUGAUUUUUGGGUGACCAUCGCUGUUCUGACGGUUGGGAUCUUUGCCUCCAGCCAAACUGCGUCCCGCAUUUUGGAUGGUAAGCAUGCAUUUGUCAUCUGCGCAUCAGAUGUGUCACUUUUUGCGCUUUUAAUAUCAGUAUCUUUAGCAAACUUUUACAAUUAAUUGGAGACUGUGGGGUAGUUGUCUCUUUGAUUGGAA